Molecule: small nucleolar RNA, 106 nt
Organism: Magnolia sinica
Lineage: Eukaryota; Viridiplantae; Streptophyta; Magnoliopsida; Magnoliales; Magnoliaceae
Source: RefSeq, a predicted model, not a curated record
AAACCAUGUUGUGGGCAUGAACUGACAAGAUCCUUGAACUGCUCCCAACAUUAGAAGAAUGUUUCAUCUUCCUUUUGAGCGAAGUUCGGAUUGACUUUUUGAGGGU